CGAAAGCCUGAUCCAGCAAUGCCGCGUGAGUGAAGAAGGCCUUCGGGUUGUAAAGGUCUUUUGUCAGGGAAGAAACGGUGAGGGCUAAUAUCCCUUGCUAAUGACGGUACCUGAAGAAUAAGCACCGGCUAACUACGUGCCAGCAGCCGCGGUAAUACGUAGGGUGCAAGCGUUAAUCGGAAUUACUGGGCGUAAAGCGUGCGCAGGCGGUUUUGUAAGUCUGAUGUGAAAUCCCCGGGCUCAACCUGGGAAUUGCAUUGGAGACUGCAAGGCUAGAAUCUGGCAGAGGGGGGUAGAAUUCCACGUGUAGCAGUGAAAUGCGUAGAUAUGUGGAGGAACACCGAUGGCGAAGGCAGCCCCCUGGGUCAAGAUUGACGCUCAUGCACGAAAGCGUGGGGAGCAAACAGGAUUAGAUACCCUGGUAGUCCACGCCCUAAACGAUGUCUACUAGUUGUCGGGUCUUAAUUGACUUGGUAACGCAGCUAACGCGUGAAGUAACC
This 500-nucleotide ribosomal RNA is filed under the name uncultured bacterium. RNAcentral's name for it is "bacterial SSU rRNA". It matches the Rfam family "Bacterial small subunit ribosomal RNA", at positions 376 to 869 of the family's 1533-position model. The record is from RNAcentral.